This is a long non-coding RNA of Lagenorhynchus albirostris (white-beaked dolphin), 559 nucleotides long. RefSeq lists it as uncharacterized. Lineage: Eukaryota; Metazoa; Chordata; Mammalia; Artiodactyla; Delphinidae. The transcript has 3 exons. The record is from RefSeq and is a predicted model, not a curated record.
UCUUCUUUUUCAGACUCAAUGUGUAUUCCUUUGUUCUGCUUAAGUAUUUAUACUCAAUGCGUCAAUGACUCUCAGGCACUCUCCAGCCUUCGUUUAUUUCAGACUCCACGAAGGAGGAAGAGGUGUCCUUCUGCUACAGCACAAGAGGGGUGCAUGCAGGCUAAUUGCCCUGUGUUGGCUGCCUAGUGGGACCCACUGGCCACAGGGAACCAAUGCACACAAUUGGAGCUGAUCUUUCUCUGUCUCUUCUCCAUCAGAUAAUUUCAACUGGAGACAGGGAUGGAUGGAAAAACUUACACUCCCAAGACAUCAGGCCUCACCAGCAAUCUUGGGCUUCUCAUUUAAAUUCCCUGAGUUUUUACUGAAGAAGUUUGCAAAGACCAGGGUGAAGGCUAUAUUGGACUGCCCAGGGAACCACACUCUUCAGGGACUGUGGACAUUAGGAAGACAUGUCCAGUUGACAGUGAACGGCUAAGCCAAGGGCCUCCCUAUUCCCUGAAGCACAACAAUAUUGAAAUUGGGCCAAUUAAUAAUCCUACGAUAGCCUCCAAAUGUUCAG